CAGCCGCCGCGGUAAUACGGAGGGAGCUAGCGUUGUUCGGAAUUACUGGGCGUAAAGCGCGCGUAGGCGGUUACUCAAGUCAGAGGUGAAAGCCCGGGGCUCAACCCCGGAACUGCCUUUGAAACUAGGUGACUAGAAUCUUGGAGAGGUCAGUGGAAUUCCGAGUGUAGAGGUGAAAUUCGUAGAUAUUCGGAAGAACACCAGUGGCGAAGGCGACUGACUGGACAAGUAUUGACGCUGAGGUGCGAAAGCGUGGGGAGCAAACAGGAUUAGAUACCCGAGUAGUCCCUGUCUCUUAUAC
This 301-nucleotide ribosomal RNA is filed under the name uncultured bacterium. RNAcentral describes it as "partial 16S ribosomal RNA". It matches the Rfam family "Bacterial small subunit ribosomal RNA", at positions 509 to 807 of the family's 1533-position model. The record is from RNAcentral.